RNAcentral lists this non-coding RNA (27 nucleotides) under Macaca fascicularis (crab-eating macaque). The record is from RNAcentral. Lineage: Eukaryota; Metazoa; Chordata; Mammalia; Primates; Cercopithecidae. RNAcentral also lists the same sequence under 1 other name.
UAGCUCAAGUGCCAUGUCCUCUGAAGU